CUAUCUGCAGUCGAGCGGACAGAUGGGAGCUUGCUCCCUGAUGUUAGCGGCGGACGGGUGAGUAACACGUGGGUAACCUGCCUGUAAGACUGGGAUAACUCCGGGAAACCGGGGCUAAUACCGGAUGGUUGUUUGAACCGCAUGGUUCAGACAUAAAAGGUGGCUUCGGCUACCACUUACAGAUGGACCCGCGGCGCAUUAGCUAGUUGGUGAGGUAACGGCUCACCAAGGCGACGAUGCGUAGCCGACCUGAGAGGGUGAUCGGCCACACUGGGACUGAGACACGGCCCAGACUCCUACGGGAGGCAGCAGUAGGGAAUCUUCCGCAAUGGACGAAAGUCUGACGGAGCAACGCCGCGUGAGUGAUGAAGGUUUUCGGAUCGUAAAGCUCUGUUGUUAGGGAAGAACAAGUGCCGUUCAAAUAGGGCGGCACCUUGACGGUACCUAACCAGAAAGCCACGGCUAACUACGUGCCAGCAGCCGCGGUAAUACGUAGGUGGCAAGCGUUGUCCGGAAUUAUUGGGCGUAAAGGGCUCGCAGGCGGUUUCUUAAGUCUGAUGUGAAAGCCCCCGACUCAACCGGGGAGGGUCAUUGGUAAACUGGGGAACUUGAGUGCAGAAGAGGAGAGUGGAAUUCCACGUGUAGCGGUGAAAUGCGUAAAGAUGUGGAGGAACACCAGUGGCGAAGGCGACUCUCUGGUCUGUAACUGACGCUGAGGAGCGAAAGCGUGGGGAGCGAACAGGAUUAGAUACCCUGGUAGUCCCCGCCGUAAACGAUGAGUGCUAAGUGUUAGGGGGUUCCCCCCCUUAGUGCUGCAGCUAACGCAUUAAGCACUCCGCCUGGGAGUACG
RNAcentral lists this ribosomal RNA (850 nucleotides) under uncultured bacterium. Its description in RNAcentral is "bacterial SSU rRNA". It matches the Rfam family "Bacterial small subunit ribosomal RNA", at positions 51 to 884 of the family's 1533-position model. The record is from RNAcentral.